CGAUUAAGAGAGUUUUAGAUCUGCAGAUUUGAGGCUUGGUUCUAAUUGCAGGCCACGGGGAUUGGAAUUUCCUAUGAUCCCUCCUCAUAUUGCGACCGGAAAAGCCUGGUGCAAGACGUUGCUGAUUCGUGUAGAACCAGAGCUGCAACGAACAACUGGAAUGAGUGACCAAAGCUAUUAUUACUGGUGUCGAAAUGACUGGAAUGAGUGAUAGAGUUUGUGUUGACCUUUGCAGCCUCAUGAAACCUGGUUGGAUCUUUUGCUAGAGGAUUAUUUCUUGUUCAGUCACAGUCAAGCUACAUUGCCACCAGGCCUUUCGCAGUUAACACUGUGAGUUUUUGUUGAGAUCUAUUAAUUUACAUCAUUUUUUAUCAAUAGUGACUAAUAUCUUACCAACAUUUACACAGUCCCGUCCAUGCCUAUAUGGCGAUUUCAGGAGGUAAAACUUGCUAUUUAUCAGCAGGGGCGGCUGCACCCACAUAAUGUGGGUCGGGGUCCCAGGACCCCAAUCAUUUCAUUAAAUAUGUAUUUUAUAAAGUGGCCCAAUACUUUGGCGAGUCGAGCUCGAGCCGAGCUUUGGCUCGUUCAAGCGAUAAUGAAGCAUGCUCGAGCCGAGCUUUUAGCUCGUUUGAGGUUGUUCUCAAAAUAGCCCGAGCUGAGUCGAGCCGAGCUCGAGCUUUGGGCUUUACUUGCGAGCCGAGCUCGAGCUCAAAUAAGUGUGCUCGAACUGAACCGAGCUCAAGCUCGAGCUUCAUAAAAACAUGACGAGCCUGUAACGUUACUUGUAUCAAAUUGUGUAUAUUUCAUUUAAUCAUAGUUAUUAAAGGCGCUAGGCGCACUCAAGGCACAUAGGCCUCGCCUGGGGCCUAGGCACAAAGCGCAAAAACGCGAGCACCUAAGAAUGCUCAAGAGAUGAUACUGCCGCAGAAUACGUGAAUUUGCUUAUGGAUUGGAACAUUGCAGUUAAAGUCUUUGUCCCUUUUUUUCUCUUAAUAGAAAUCGGCUUAAUAAAUAGCUGCUGCUCCUCGCCACCAUGAUAAAACAAAACACUUUGAUAUUUAUUGCCACCUUAACAGUGACAAGGUCCAAGAAGUUCUUUUUACAAAAUGCCUUAUGUUCCUAUUCACUUUAGUUGUUCAGUUGGAUGAUGUCAUUGUUGGAGUAAUCCGAACCGCUCCGAUCCGAACCAAAACAACCCUUUUUGUAAUUGACCCGUUUUGACCCGAACCAAAACAGCCCUUUUUGUAAUUGACCCAUUUUCACCCAUGACCUGACCCGAACCGAACGGACCCGUUUGCCAGGUCUAUCUAGGCCUGUCAAUGGAUGGAUAUGGAUAGGAUCAUGAUCCGAUCCAUUAAUGAUCCAACUUAAUGGAUCAUGAUCCGAUCCAUGAUCCAACAUAAUGGAUCGUGAUCCGAUCCAUAUCCAAAUAAUU
Molecule: long non-coding RNA, 1435 nt
Organism: Helianthus annuus (common sunflower)
Lineage: Eukaryota; Viridiplantae; Streptophyta; Magnoliopsida; Asterales; Asteraceae
Exons: 3
Source: RefSeq, a predicted model, not a curated record